Non-coding RNA from Mycena epipterygia, 96 nucleotides. Lineage: Eukaryota; Fungi; Basidiomycota; Agaricomycetes; Agaricales; Mycenaceae. The record is from the annotation of a GenBank genome assembly.
UCAGACAUGUUUUAGUGGUAACAUUGCCUCUUUGAUUAUGUAGUAGAAAACUGAUUGGCGAGGAGGCGGUCCCGGGUUCGGAUCCCGGUGUCUGAG